RNAcentral lists this ribosomal RNA (253 nucleotides) under uncultured bacterium. RNAcentral's name for it is "partial 16S ribosomal RNA". It matches the Rfam family "Bacterial small subunit ribosomal RNA", at positions 524 to 776 of the family's 1533-position model. The record is from RNAcentral.
UACGAAGGGGGCUAGCGUUGUUCGGAAUUACUGGGCGUAAAGUGUGCGCAGGCGGCCGAGCAAGUCGAGUGUGAAAGCCCCGGGCUUAACUUGGGAAUUGCGCUCGAAACUACUUGGCUGGAGUGUGGCAGAGGAAGGUGGAAUUCCAGGUGUAGCGGUGAAAUGCGUAGAGAUCUGGAGGAACACCGAUGGCGAAGGCAGCCUUCUGGGCCAACACUGACGCUCAUGCACGAAAGCGUGGGGAGCAAACAGG